CUGGUUUAAUAAAAUUACAUCUCUAGUUUAAUAAAAUACAUCCCUCCAUCUCUCCUCUAGUUUAAUAAAAUACGUCCCUCCAUCUCUCCUCUAGUUUAAUAAAAUGCAUCCCUCCUAGUUUAAUAAAAUACAUCCCUCCAUCUCUCCCCUAGUUUAAUAAAAUACAUCCCUCCAUCUGUCCUCUAGUUUAAUAAAAUACAUCUCUCCUCUAGUAGAAUAAAAUACAUCCCUCCAUCUCUCCUCUAGUAGAAUAAAAUACAUCUCUCCAUCUCUCCUCUAGUUUAAUAAAAUACAUCCCUCCAUCUCUCCUCUAGUUUAAUAAAAUACAUCUCUCCAUCUCUCCUCUAGUUUAAUAAAAUACAUCCCUCCAUCUCUCCUCUAGUUUAAUAAAAUACAUCUCUCCAUCUCUCCUCUAGUUUAAUAAAAUACAUCUCUCCAUCUCUCCUCUAGUUUAAUAAAAUACAUCCCUCCAUCUCUCCUCUAGUAGAAUAAAAUACAUCUCUCCAUCUCUCCUCUAGUUUAAUAAAAUACAUCUCUCCAUCUCUCCUCUAGUUUAAUAAAAUACAUCCCUCCAUCUCUCCUCUAGUAGAAUAAAAUACAUCUCUCCAUCUCUCCUCUAGUUUAAUAAAAUACAUCCCUCCACCUCUCUAGUUUAAUAAAAUACAUCCCUCCACCUCUAGUUUAAUAAAAUACAUCCCUCCACCUCUCCUCUAGUAGAAUAAAAUGCAUCCCUCCAUCUCUCCUCUAGUAGAAUAAAAUACAUCCCUCCACCUCUCUAGUUUAAUAAAAUACAUCUCUCCUCUAGUUUAAUAAAAUACAUCCCUCCAUCUCUCCUCCAGUAGAAUAAAAUACAUCCCUCCAUCUCUCCGCUAGUAGAAUAAAAUACAUCCCUCCAUCUCUCCUCUAGUAGAAUAAAAUACAUCCCUCUAGUAGAAUAAAAUACAUCUCUCCUCUAUAGAAUAAAAAUACAUCUCUCCUCUAGUAGAAUAAAAUACAUCUCUCCUCUA
Oncorhynchus tshawytscha (Chinook salmon) is the source of this 1007-nucleotide long non-coding RNA. The record is from Ensembl. NCBI's taxonomy places the organism in Eukaryota, Metazoa, Chordata, Actinopteri, Salmoniformes, Salmonidae.